Molecule: ribosomal RNA, 254 nt
Filed under: uncultured bacterium
Lineage: Bacteria
Description: partial 16S ribosomal RNA
Rfam family: Bacterial small subunit ribosomal RNA
Source: RNAcentral
UACGAAGGGGGCUAGCGUUGUUCGGAAUCACUGGGCGUAAAGGGCGCGUAGGCGGCACUGUUAGUCAGGCGUGAAAGUCCUGGGCUCAACCUGGGAACUGCGCUUGAUACGGCAGAGCUAGAGGAUGGAAGAGGCUCGCGGAAUUCCCAGUGUAGAGGUGAAAUUCGUAGAUAUUGGGAAGAACACCGGUGGCGAAGGCGGCGAGCUGGUCCGAUUACUGACGCUGAGGCGCGACAGCGUGGGGAGCAAACAGG